UACGUAGGGUGCGAGCGUUAAUCGGAAUUACUGGGCGUAAAGCGUGCGCAGGCGGUGGCUCAAGCCCGGCGUGAAAUCCCCGGGCUUAACCUGGGAACGGCCGUUGAAACUGGCGAACUGGAGUGUGGCAGAGGGGGGUGGAAUUCCGCGUGUAGCAGUGAAAUGCGUAGAGAUGCGGAGGAACACCGAUGGCGAAGGCAGCCCCCUGGGCUAACACUGACGCUCAGGCACGAAAGCGUGGGGAGCAAACAGG
This 253-nucleotide ribosomal RNA is filed under the name uncultured bacterium. RNAcentral describes it as "partial 16S ribosomal RNA". It matches the Rfam family "Bacterial small subunit ribosomal RNA", at positions 524 to 776 of the family's 1533-position model. The record is from RNAcentral.